Long non-coding RNA from Drosophila albomicans, 437 nucleotides. RefSeq lists it as uncharacterized. The record is from RefSeq and is a predicted model, not a curated record. Lineage: Eukaryota; Metazoa; Arthropoda; Insecta; Diptera; Drosophilidae. The transcript has 3 exons.
AAAAUUAAAAAAUGUUAAAUAACUUGAAAUAAAAUAAAAAAAAAUAAAAAACACAAAAUUGUUUUCAAUCUUAUAUUAUUAUUACAAAAUUUCAUUCUUAUGAAUCCAGCUGUCUUCGGUUUUGGGGAACUCAACCAGCGCGCACUGCAGUUUAGAUACAGCGCCCUGCCCACAGCGCGAGAACGGUCACGGAGACGGGUGUUGGAGGUGGGGAAGGAGGUGUGACGACGGGCGGCGGCGGGGGCGGUAAUAACUAUGAGAAGCGCAUAAAUUACUGCAGGAUGAAGAAGGCGGAGUUCCGUUGCUGGGACGCCAAGAAGAUUGAGGUGAGCAAGGCGAAGGAGGAGCUCGAAUAUAUGCGCGAGGUGCAUCGAUUGCGAGUCAAAGAACUUAAACUAAAGAUAAGCAUACUGCAGAGGGAGGAGGAACAAUUGUGC